GCCCGCUCAGAAACUUAAAGGAAUUGACGGGGCCCGCACAAGCGGAGGAACAUGUGGUUUAAUUCGAUGAUACGCGAGGAACUUACCCGGGCUUGAAUUGCAGAGGAACAUAGUUGAAAGAUUAUGGCCGCAAGGUCUCUGUGAAGGUGCUGCAUGGUUGUCGUCAGCUCGUGCCGUGAGGUGUCGGCUUAAGUGCCAUAACGAGCGCAACCCUUAUCAUUAGUUACUAACAGGUCAUGCUGAGGACUCUAGUGAGACUGCCGUCGUAAGAUGUGAGGAAGGUGGGGAUGACGUCAAAUCAGCACGGCCCUUACGUCCGGGGCUACACACGUGUUACAAUGGGGGGUACAGAGGGCAGCUACCGGGCGACCGGAUGCCAAUCCCAAAAACCUCUCUCAGUUCGGAUCGAAGUCUGCAACCCGACUUCGUGAAGCUGGAUUCGCUAGUAAUCGCGCAUCAGCCACGGCGCGGUGAAUACGUUCCCGGGCCUU
Molecule: ribosomal RNA, 491 nt
Filed under: uncultured Bacteroides sp.
Lineage: Bacteria; Pseudomonadati; Bacteroidota; Bacteroidia; Bacteroidales; Bacteroidaceae
Description: bacterial SSU rRNA
Rfam family: Bacterial small subunit ribosomal RNA
Source: RNAcentral